This 253-nucleotide ribosomal RNA is filed under the name uncultured bacterium. Its description in RNAcentral is "partial 16S ribosomal RNA". It matches the Rfam family "Bacterial small subunit ribosomal RNA", at positions 524 to 776 of the family's 1533-position model. The record is from RNAcentral.
UACGAAGGGAGCUAGCGUUGUUCGGAAUCACUGGGCGUAAAGCGCACGUAGGCGGACGUGUCAGUCAGGGGUGAAAUCCCGGAGCUCAACUUCGGAACUGCCUUUGAUACAGCACGUCUUGAGUCCGGAAGAGGAGAGUGGAAUUCCCGGUGUAGCGGUGAAAUGCGCAGAUAUCAGGAGGAACACCGGUGGCGAAGGCGGGACUCUGGGCCGAUACUGACGCUGAGGAGCGAAAGCGUGGGGAGCGAACAGG